AGGUUCGAAUCCUGCACGACCCACCAAUUUCAGCAUUUAACUCAGAUGCUGAACGUGAAGGAUAACGUUGCGACAGCAACGGCCCGAAGGGCGAGGCGAAGUCGAGUCAUCCUGCACGACUCACCA
RNAcentral lists this small RNA (126 nucleotides) under Klebsiella pneumoniae. RNAcentral's name for it is "partial RtT sRNA". It matches the Rfam family "RtT RNA", at positions 39 to 130 of the family's 130-position model. Rfam says of the family: This family represents a bacterial cis-regulatory element known as RtT RNA. The exact function of RtT is unknown although it is thought that it may be involved in changing the cellular response in relation to amino acid starvation. Lineage: Bacteria; Pseudomonadati; Pseudomonadota; Gammaproteobacteria; Enterobacterales; Enterobacteriaceae. The record is from RNAcentral.